AUCUAGCGAAACCACAGCCAAGGGAACGGGCUUGGAAUAAUUAGCGGGGAAAGAAGACCCUUUUGAGCUUGACUCAAUCUGACAGUGUAGGGAGACAUAAGAGGUGUAGAAUAAGUGGGAGAUAUUAGACUUCGGCCCGGUAUCGACAAUGAAAUACCACUACUCUUAUUGUUUCCUUACUUACUUGAUUAAAUGGACGUGUAUCAUUUCCUAGCCAUUAUACGGAUAUAAUUAUUAUGUCUUAUGGUAUUGGGUUUUGAUGCAAGCUU
RNAcentral lists this ribosomal RNA (269 nucleotides) under Drosophila virilis. Its description in RNAcentral is "partial ribosomal RNA". It matches the Rfam family "Eukaryotic large subunit ribosomal RNA", at positions 2354 to 2574 of the family's 3401-position model. Lineage: Eukaryota; Metazoa; Arthropoda; Insecta; Diptera; Drosophilidae. The record is from RNAcentral.